Molecule: ribosomal RNA, 516 nt
Filed under: Agelasa nigriceps
Lineage: Eukaryota; Metazoa; Arthropoda; Insecta; Coleoptera; Chrysomelidae
Description: partial 12S ribosomal RNA
Source: RNAcentral
UGCGGUUAUACAAAUAGUAUAAUUUAAUUUUUUCAAUGUUAAUUAAUUUAAUAAUUANAAUUUUAAUUAAAAAUUUAUUAGAUGAAAUUUUAUAUUUUUGAUAAAAUUUAUAUAAAUAAAUGAGGUUAGAAAAUUUAUUUUAAAAACUAGGAUUAGAUACCCUAUUAUUUUAAAUGUGAGUUUAUUAGUUGAAUUAGUAUUAGUUAUUUUCUUGAAAAUUAAAAAUUUUGGCGGUAUUUUAUUCUAUUCAGAGGAACUUGUUUUGUAAAUGAUAUUCCACGAUUAAAUUUACUUUUAUUAUUAAUUUAUAUAUCGUCGUAUUUAAAUAUUUUUUUAGGAUUUAAAUAUUUAAUAAUUUAAAUUAAAUAAUUUAUCAGAUCAAGGUGUAGUUUAUAUAAGAGUAAAAAUGAGUUACAAUAAAUAUAUUUUAGGAAAUUAAAUUUUGAAUUUAUUUGAAUAUGGAUUUGAGAGUAAAAUUAUUUAUAUAAGUAAUUUGAUUUUAGAAAUAAAAUAUGU